UACGUAGGGGGCUAGCGUUGCUCGGAAUCACUGGGCGUAAAGGGUGCGUAGGCGGGUCCGCAAGUGCCUUGUGAAAUCCCACGGCUCAACCGUGGAAUGGCUCGGCAGACUGCGGGUCUUGAGGUCGGUAGGGGUCGCUGGAACUCUAGGUGGAGCGGUGAAAUGCGUAGAUAUCUAGAGGAACGCCAAAGGUGAAGACAAGCGACUGGGCCGAUUCUGACGCUGAGGCACGAAAGCGUGGGGAGCGAACGGG
RNAcentral lists this ribosomal RNA (253 nucleotides) under uncultured bacterium. RNAcentral describes it as "partial 16S ribosomal RNA". It matches the Rfam family "Bacterial small subunit ribosomal RNA", at positions 524 to 776 of the family's 1533-position model. The record is from RNAcentral.